UACGUAGGGUGCAAGCGUUAAUCGGAAUUACUGGGCGUAAAGCGUGCGCAGGCGGUUUUGUAAGCCAGUCGUGAAAUCCCCGGGCUUAACCUGGGAAUGGCGAUUGGGACUGCAAGGCUCGAGUGCGGCAGAGGGGGGUGGAAUUCCACGUGUAGCAGUGAAAUGCGUAGAUAUGUGGAGGAGCAUCAAUGGCGAAGGCAGCCCCCUGGGUCGACACUGACGCUCAUGCACGAAAGCGUGGGGAGCAAACAGGAUUAGAAACCCUGGUAGU
Molecule: ribosomal RNA, 271 nt
Filed under: uncultured bacterium
Lineage: Bacteria
Description: partial 16S ribosomal RNA
Rfam family: Bacterial small subunit ribosomal RNA
Source: RNAcentral